Molecule: transfer RNA, 69 nt
Filed under: Haliotis rubra (blacklip abalone)
Lineage: Eukaryota; Metazoa; Mollusca; Gastropoda; Lepetellida; Haliotidae
Description: tRNA-Lys
Rfam family: tRNA
About the family: Transfer RNA (tRNA) molecules are approximately 80 nucleotides in length. Their secondary structure includes four short double-helical elements and three loops (D, anti-codon, and T loops). Further hydrogen bonds mediate the characteristic L-shaped molecular structure. tRNAs have two regions of fundamental functional importance: the anti-codon, which is responsible for specific mRNA codon recognition, and the 3' end, to which the tRNAs corresponding amino acid is attached (by aminoacyl-tRNA synthetases). tRNAs cope with the degeneracy of the genetic code in two manners: having more than one tRNA (with a specific anti-codon) for a particular amino acid; and 'wobble' base-pairing, i.e. permitting non-standard base-pairing at the 3rd anti-codon position.
Source: RNAcentral
UCCAAUGUGGUCUAGUGGUUAGGAUUCCUGGCUUUGCCAGGCGGCCGGGUUCGAUUCCCGGCAUUGGAA